AGACAUCAACAACAUGUUAAAAUAAUCGAAUUUGGAAUAUACAUACAAAUGUAGUAGGUUGACAAUAAGCAUAUGAACUAAAAAUACCAAAAUCAUAUAAAUAAAGCAUCUACAGAAUGUACAUAUUGAAGAACAAAUAUGUGUUUAGUGGAACUUGUCAACAAAUAAUACGACUGUUAACAAUAAGCACAUGAACAGAAAAAUCGGACAAAGCAAGUAAGCUAUUUUGGAA
RNAcentral lists this long non-coding RNA (232 nucleotides) under Capsicum annuum. RNAcentral's name for it is "long non-coding RNA (CANN_LNC019686)". Lineage: Eukaryota; Viridiplantae; Streptophyta; Magnoliopsida; Solanales; Solanaceae. The record is from RNAcentral.